CAUGUUUGUGGUGAUGAUGGGUGAACUCAAAGAUACAGCAGCAUUUACUGUGCUUUUUGAAGUCACUAGCCUUUAUGAAUAUCAGAAGUAUCUGCAAGUGAGCAACUCUAGUCUUUAUCCCAGUUCCAUGCAGACCAUGCUGGUUCCAUUCAAGCAAAUCAGCUGAAACUCUGGCUUACUGCAAAAAGUCAGUCUAUUUGUCUUGGAAGUUUUGCUUCACAACAGUACAGUAAAAUUAAUUUCCCAGUUAUUCAUUCAGAAAUGUAGGAGAGGAGAAGAAGAAACUGUUUAGCCCCUGAGAUCCUGUCAGAUUAAAGCUAAAGAACACAGGCCAUGUUUGGGCCCCAGUAUGCAACUACUUGAUUUAGGGUAGAACUGGUAGAAUGAAUUUUUAACAUUUCAUUUUGCAAGGCUCCUUGAAAUGUGUAAAAAAUAGUAUUCUGAGGAAUCUUCAUAAUUCUGUGGAAACCCAAUGUAUUUUUUUACUCAAGAACUUCACAUGUGGGAAGAUGUUUUUUCAUUUAAUAAUUUUAUGUUUUAAAGGAACAGGUUUCUAGCUUGGAGUUUUGUUAAAAAAUAAAAUCUACCCAUGUGCACA
Molecule: long non-coding RNA, 598 nt
Filed under: Parus major (Great Tit)
Lineage: Eukaryota; Metazoa; Chordata; Aves; Passeriformes; Paridae
Description: lncRNA (ENSPMJG00000002408.1)
Source: RNAcentral